CAGGCGCACAGCCGCGCAGGCCGCAGGGCCGACAUCGACAGGCGCAGGCACAGGGCCACUGGCCGACCGCCGACAGGCGCACGGGCCGCGCAGGGGCAACUUGCGGAGUUCCGCUCCUACGAGGGGCAGGAGAUGCAGAUCAAGGAGAAGAUUGUGCCUCUCAAGAUUGACCUCCGAGUGAACAACACUGUAAUAAGAGACAAGUUCUUUUGGGAUAUUGGCAACCUUGAUAGUGACCCUGAGGAAUUUGCGAGGACGCUAUGUGACGAUUUGAACAUCGCAGAUCCUGAAGUUGGGCUUGUUUUGGUCCAAUUGUUGAUUUGACGAGUACUCUACAUAUUAUUCUUCAUUUAAGG
This is a long non-coding RNA of Panicum virgatum (switchgrass), 356 nucleotides long. RefSeq lists it as uncharacterized. The transcript has 4 exons. The record is from RefSeq and is a predicted model, not a curated record. Lineage: Eukaryota; Viridiplantae; Streptophyta; Magnoliopsida; Poales; Poaceae.